GUGUCCCAACGCUUGACAUUGGCCUCGCUGACGAUCGCCGGAGCGAUCCCCGCCGCCCACUGCCGAACCUAAAAGGGGGUGCUCGCGCAUCCCCGGUGUCAGAGCCCCGUGCUACGACGCUAUCAUAACUACAAACUAUAAAUGCACAAGAUUUAUCUUACAAGCAUACAAGCUAGCAAUUUUAUCAACCUAGUACAAGCAUACAUGCACAUUCACAAAAAUUUAUCAACCUAGUACAAGCAUACAAGCUACCAAGCUCGGGAUAUGCAUCCAAGCUACCAAGCAAAUUUAUCAACCUAGUACAAGCAUACAAGCUACCAAGCUCGGGAUAUGCAUCACAAAAAUUUCACAAAAAAUACAGAAAAAAAAUGCUCACCAAUUAGGGAAGGGGGAGCCGGUAGUGGAGGAGG
Molecule: long non-coding RNA, 410 nt
Filed under: Brachypodium distachyon (stiff brome)
Lineage: Eukaryota; Viridiplantae; Streptophyta; Magnoliopsida; Poales; Poaceae
Description: long non-coding RNA (BDIS_LNC005785)
Source: RNAcentral